GGUGAAGCUGAGACAUGAAACCCAAUCUUCCCAGAGCCUCAGCAAGCUUGUCCCUUUCCAGUACGAAUGUUCCCUCGCAAUUUUUAUGAGUCUUCAGGGGAAGAUGAGAACUAGCCCACUUGAAGGUGCAGCAUGUUUGCCCAGGCUCUAUGGCACAGGAGAGUUCAGGCCGACUUUCUCACCAUGUAACGAUGCUACUAAUACUUCCAUUUUACUGAUGAAGAAGCUGAGGCUGGUGGAGAAUAAGCAACCUGUCCAAUGUCACAUGUUUGGGAAGUGAAUUCAAAUCAUUGUGAUUCCAAAGCCCAUCUCUUGAGA
This is a long non-coding RNA of Mustela erminea (ermine), 318 nucleotides long. RefSeq lists it as uncharacterized. Lineage: Eukaryota; Metazoa; Chordata; Mammalia; Carnivora; Mustelidae. The transcript has 3 exons. The record is from RefSeq and is a predicted model, not a curated record.